GACGAACGCUGGCGGCGUGCUUAACACAUGCAAGUCGAACGGAAAGGCCCUGCUUUUGUGGGGUGCUCGAGUGGCGAACGGGUGAGUAACACGUGAGUAACCUGCCCUUGACUUUGGGAUAACUUCAGGAAACUGGGGCUAAUACCGGAUAGGAGCUCCUGCUGCAUGGUGGGGGUUGGAAAGUUUCGGCGGUUGGGGAUGGACUCGCGGCUUAUCAGCUUGUUGGUGGGGUAGUGGCUUACCAAGGCUUUGACGGGUAGCCGGCCUGGGAGGUUGACCGGCCACAUUGGGACUGCGAUACGGCGCAGACUCCUACGGGAGGCAGCGGUGGGGAAUAUUGCACAAUGGGCAGGAGCCUGAUGCAGCAACGCCGCGUGCGGGAUGACGGCCUUCGGGUUGUGAACCGCUUUCGCCUGUGACGAGGCGUGAGUGACGGUAAUGGGUAAAGAAGCACCGGCUAACUACGUG
This 468-nucleotide ribosomal RNA is filed under the name uncultured bacterium. Its description in RNAcentral is "partial 16S ribosomal RNA". It matches the Rfam family "Bacterial small subunit ribosomal RNA", at positions 28 to 507 of the family's 1533-position model. The record is from RNAcentral.